RNAcentral lists this long non-coding RNA (679 nucleotides) under Phoenix dactylifera (date palm). RNAcentral's name for it is "long non-coding RNA (PDAC_LNC010311)". Lineage: Eukaryota; Viridiplantae; Streptophyta; Magnoliopsida; Arecales; Arecaceae. The record is from RNAcentral.
AGGUGGUGGCGGCAGUCGCUAGUUGGUGAUAGGCAAUGGCGGAGGCUGCGAUGGAGGAGGACAAGGAGGGGAGGGGUUUAGGAUUAGGGUUAGGAUUGGGUCUGAGGUUUGGGAAAAGGGAGGAGGAAUCAGCAUUGGUUGAGGUGGCAGAAAUGGAUGGCAUGGUGGUUAAUCAUUAGCCUGGUCUACCACUGAGUUGGCAAACCCGAUGCAACUAAUAAAUUAUGUAUAGAAAGGACUUUUCACUUCCACGAUGCCAAUCUCCCAUCCAUAAUUUCCAAUAUAUAUGAAGGAAUCUAAGGUUUUUGGAUGUCCAACAGAGAUUCGGAUGCCCAAUCCUAUCAAAGAUUGCGAUGCUCAAUCCUGUCGAAGAUUGGGAUGCCAAUCUCCUAAUGUUUACAUGAUUAUAACAAGAUGCCCAUUUCUGUAAAUAACUUUACAUGAUUGUAACAAGAUUACACAAUGAUGGCGAAAGGAAAGAAAUCCAUAAAUCUUGCUCCAAUGUGACCUUUUAUUCUCGUUCAAAUUUGAAUUAUAUUAGAAAUAUAAUUUUCCAAGAUUUUAAGCAUUUUUUUCAAAGAAACAAUUCAGAUUUUUAGGAAAUAAAUCCAACAUAUAAGGCCAUUAGCCCAUGAGACAAAUAUAGGGCUGCACUAAAUUUAUAGGGAAUUUCUGGAGC